AGACUACAAUAUUCCAGAUAUUUUUCUAAAGUGCGGGCAAUGGAACAGUGAUUAAGCUAAGAACAUUGGCUUGACCAAUCAGCCAGGUGGAACAGAAGGUACUAGAAGAAGAAAUUCACGAGCUUGGGAACCACUCAGACCUAAUUCUGAUAACGAAACAGGCUCAGACAUCACACUUGACCACAGUCACUCAACAUUAACAGUGUAGCCUGGAUUAGAACCCAGAUUCCAUCUGACUUCAAAGCCUGUGCUGUCCACAAAGUGGAGAGACCACAUCUGCAGUACUGUGUCCGGUUCUGGCUGCCAUAUUUUCAAUCAUUAGUGAAGAAAUGUGGAUAGAAGGAGAAAGAGAAGGGUGUAAAAAUUAUCACCUUAGAAUCCCAUCAGGACCUUUCAAUUUCCCUAACUGAGAUACUCUGCGCCUGAGCAGCAGUGCU
Long non-coding RNA from Hyaena hyaena (striped hyena), 437 nucleotides. RefSeq lists it as uncharacterized. The transcript is spliced from 3 exons. NCBI's taxonomy places the organism in Eukaryota, Metazoa, Chordata, Mammalia, Carnivora, Hyaenidae. The record is from RefSeq and is a predicted model, not a curated record.